This 1298-nucleotide long non-coding RNA is filed under the name Mus musculus (house mouse). Its description in RNAcentral is "Pvt1 oncogene". The stretch from base 44 to 200 matches the Rfam family "Pvt1 oncogene conserved region 1". Lineage: Eukaryota; Metazoa; Chordata; Mammalia; Rodentia; Muridae. The record is from RNAcentral.
ACCCGCCAGCCCCGCGCUCUACCAGGCAGAGCGCGUGUGGCCGCCGAGCACAUGGACCCACUGGUCAAGCGGGCUCGGCAAGGCCAGGAUGAAGAGAAGCUACGAACUUAGCAUUCCCAGAGCCCCCCGAGUGGAUAUCCGCGUGGAAAGGAUGUUGGCAGCCCCGGUGACCUCGGAGUCACGGCUGGAUCCACCCUCUUUAUACCCUUUAAGCGUUCCAGAAGGAUUUUGAGAUCCUUUCCUAAAUCAAAGGUGGAAUAUUUGGGGAUUUGGAAAAUUGAGUGUCUUCAGCCAAGGGAUGAGAACAGCGCAUGCUGCUGCUGCUGAUUCUGUGUGCUCAGGGCCCUUCUGUGGAGGAGCAGGAGAAUAGGCUUCAGAGAAAUCAGGAGCGGUGAAUGAUCGAAAUGGACCUUUGAGAUUACAGUGUGGAGCUGACAUUGCCAGUUAAGCCUGGGCAGAUCUGACUUAAUUGAUUUAGUUGUUGGAGCAGAGACAACCCAGAGGCUUGGAUCAGCCUCCCCAUCUGACAGUGUGCUGAUGUGAAGCGUUGACUUAAGAGAUGCCAAGUAACUCAGCAGAUGUCACACAGACGAUAAAUAGCAAAGAUGGAAGUCUUCAUGCCGGAGGCAAUCCUAUAAGACAGCUGAGUUCUGCAGAGCUGGUAGGAGACAGACUUGCUCAGGUGAUAGAUCCAGCCAUGAUACUGACCCUAAGAGAAUGAGACGCUCUGCAGAAGACAGAAGAUUCCUGAAACUGGGAAAGGUGCCUAGAAAUCCUGAUAAGAGUGAAGAAGGAGCUGGCAGAGCAGCCUUCCUCCGCACUAUGAAAGACAUCCAACAGAGAGCAAGUUCCCACCUCACUUCCAGCUUGACUCCUUUUUAUCUCCUAACUGUGGUCUGUGAUGUCUUCAGCAAUGGUAUUAACUAGUUCUGGGUACCUGGAGGCACAGCAGCCAUGUUGAACCUAUGAGGUGAUGAAAAACCAUGCAACUAGAAACCAGAAUGGAAGAAAAGAAGAAGCUGGAUCCUUGACUGAAUUGUCGAUGGGGGAUAGUCCAUCAUCCCAGGGCUAAGACCACCUCCAGAUUUCUUGUUUGGUGAAACAAGUCCUGAUUGUUUACAUUCCCUCGUGUUGAGCUGUCUCUUGCUUGUAGCUGAAAGCAUUUCUAAUAGAUAUUCAGAUUAUCAGCCUUAGCUCCAAGCUAGAAUACUCUAUGGGACCUUAGCUUCUCCAUGAAUUCCUUUGCUCAUCUGUGUAAUGCUCAAUAAAUGUAAAUUGAACCCUGAAUGAGGGACAAU